UUUUUAUGAGAGUUUGAUCCUGGCUCAGGACGAACGCUGGCGGCGUGCCUAAUACAUGCAAGUAGAACGCUGAGGUCUGGUGCUUGCACUAGACGGAUGAGUUGCGAACGGGUGAGUAACGCGUAGGUAACCUGCCUCAUAGCGGGGGAUAACUAUUGGAAACGAUAGCUAAUACCGCAUAACAGUAUUUACCGCAUGGUA
Molecule: ribosomal RNA, 201 nt
Filed under: Streptococcus suis
Lineage: Bacteria; Bacillati; Bacillota; Bacilli; Lactobacillales; Streptococcaceae
Description: partial 16S ribosomal RNA
Rfam family: Bacterial small subunit ribosomal RNA
Source: RNAcentral